This 498-nucleotide ribosomal RNA is filed under the name uncultured bacterium. Its description in RNAcentral is "partial 16S ribosomal RNA". It matches the Rfam family "Bacterial small subunit ribosomal RNA", at positions 28 to 507 of the family's 1533-position model. The record is from RNAcentral.
GACGAACGCUGGCGGCGUGCCUAAUACAUGCAAGUCGAGCGGACGAUUCGAAAGCUUGCUUUUGAAUCGUUAGCGGCGGACGGGUGAGUAACACGUGGGCAACCUGCCCUGUAGACGGGGAUAACACCGAGAAAUCGGUGCUAAUACCGGAUAACACGAAAUGUCGCAUGACGUUUCGUUGAAAGGCGGCGCAAGCUGCCGCUACAGGAUGGGCCCGCGGCGCAUUAGCUAGUUGGUGAGGUAACGGCUCACCAAGGCGACGAUGCGUAGCCGACCUGAGAGGGUGAUCGGCCACACUGGGACUGAGACACGGCCCAGACUCCUACGGGAGGCAGCAGUAGGGAAUCUUCCGCAAUGGACGAAAGUCUGACGGAGCAACGCCGCGUGAGCGAAGAAGGCCUUCGGGUCGUAAAGCUCUGUUGUUAGGGAAGAACAAGUAGCGUAGUAACUGACGUUACUAUGACGGUACCUAACGAGAAAGCCACGGCUAACUACGUG